CAUUCCUCAUUACACCUUGUAUUCAUUUGCCCUUUCUAUUUUCCUGAGGAACCUGAUGGGCUCAACAUCCCGCACGGUACUUGACUCAAACGGUGGCAGACCUCGACCCAGAUGGUGGCGAAGCUCGACCUAGAUGAUGGUGGUGACUCAUACGAACAGCUCGACCCAGAUAGUGUAUUUCUCAUCUUUAUCUUUCGCUUUGCUUUGCUGGAUAUUUGGAAGCCCUAAUUAAUUGUGAACCCAUAACUGAAAUCGCCGAGGAAAUUGCUUUGGCGUCGGAAUUAGAUAGUGGUGGUGGAACCUUGGUCGGUGUCCGACAAUGGUGCUCAAAUCUUGGUUGGUGGGCGGCGGGCUUGAUAGCGCAGCAAGAGACGGGCUGGAAAUGGACGAAGAAUGUGAGUUGGAAAAUGCAAACCGAUUUUGUGAAGAUAAUAGUUUGUGAUUCUAUGUGGGGAGGUCUAAAGAAUUUAUUGUAUUUUAUC
Molecule: long non-coding RNA, 482 nt
Organism: Juglans regia (Persian walnut)
Lineage: Eukaryota; Viridiplantae; Streptophyta; Magnoliopsida; Fagales; Juglandaceae
Exons: 2
Source: RefSeq, a predicted model, not a curated record